This 461-nucleotide ribosomal RNA is filed under the name uncultured bacterium. Its description in RNAcentral is "partial 16S ribosomal RNA". It matches the Rfam family "Bacterial small subunit ribosomal RNA", at positions 28 to 507 of the family's 1533-position model. The record is from RNAcentral.
GACGAACGCUGGCGGCGUGCUUAACACAUGCAAGUCGAACGGAAAGGCCCUGCUUGCAGGGUGCUCGAGUGGCGAACGGGUGAGUAACACGUGUGUGAUCGGCCCCUUACUUUGGGAUAAGCCUGGGAAACUGGGUCUAAUACUGGAUAGGACCAUGCUGGAGGUUGGGUGGUGGCAAGAUGGGUUUCGUUGAUGGAUGGGCUCGCGGCGGAUUAGCUUGGUGGUAGGGUAAAGUCCUAGCAAGGCGUCGACCGAUAGCCGGCCGGGGAGGGUGAUAGGCCACAGUGGGACUGAGACACGGCCCAGAGUCGGAGGGGAGGCGGCAGUGGGGAAUAGGGGAGAAUGGGCGAAAGCCUGAUCCAGCAAUGCCGCGUGAGUGGUGAAGGCCUUAGGGUUGUAAAGCUCUUUUACCCGGGAUGAGAAUGACAGUACCGGGAGAAUAAGCUCCGGCUAACUCCGUG